UACGUAGGAGGCGAGCGUUGUCCGGAUUUACUGGGCGUAAAGGGCGCGCAGGCGGCACCGUAAGUAAGGUGUGAAAUCUCCCUGCUCAACGGGGAGGGAGCACUUUAGACUGCGGAGCUAGAGGACGGUAGAGGGGGGUAGAAUUGCUGGUGUAGCGGUGAAAUGCGUAGAGAUCAGCAGGAAUACCCGUGGCGAAGGCGGCCCCCUGGGCCGAACCUGACGCUGAGGCGCGAAGGCUAGGGGAGCGAACGGG
Molecule: ribosomal RNA, 253 nt
Filed under: uncultured bacterium
Lineage: Bacteria
Description: partial 16S ribosomal RNA
Rfam family: Bacterial small subunit ribosomal RNA
Source: RNAcentral